RNAcentral lists this ribosomal RNA (426 nucleotides) under uncultured bacterium. RNAcentral describes it as "partial 16S ribosomal RNA". It matches the Rfam family "Bacterial small subunit ribosomal RNA", at positions 354 to 796 of the family's 1533-position model. The record is from RNAcentral.
GUGGGGAAUCUUGCGCAAUGGGCGAAAGCCUGACGCAGCAACGCCGCGUGCGGGAUGAAGGCCUUCGGGUUGUAAACCGCUUUCAGCAGGGAAGAAAUUGACGGUACCUGCAGAAGAAGCCCCGGCCAACUACGUGCCAGCAGCCGCGGUAACACGUAGGGGGCGAGCGUUGUCCGGAUUUAUUGGGCGUAAAGAGCUCGUAGGCGGUUCGCUAAGUCGGGUGUGAAACCUCCAGGCUCAACCUGGAGACGCCACCUGAUACUGGUGUGACUAGAGUCCGGUAGGGGAGUGUGGAACUCCUGGUGUAGCGGUGAAAUGCGCAGAUAUCAGGAAGAACACCAGCGGCGAAGGCGGCACUCUGGGCCGGUACUGACGCUGAGGAGCGAAAGCGUGGGUAGCAAACAGGAUUAGAUACCCCAGUAGUCC